AGAAGCUAUAGUAGCAGUAACCUUUUAAGUUAAAGACCGAGAUAUCCUUUCUCCUUUAUG
RNAcentral lists this transfer RNA (60 nucleotides) under Tachyglossus aculeatus (Australian echidna). Its description in RNAcentral is "transfer RNA-Lys". Lineage: Eukaryota; Metazoa; Chordata; Mammalia; Monotremata; Tachyglossidae. The record is from RNAcentral.